CCCAGCGGUACCGGCGGCAUGCAGGCGGCCCUGGAGAUCACGGCACGUUACUGCCGCAGCGAGAUGGAGCAGUACGGGCGGUGCGUGGCCGCCAGCCCGGCCUCCUGGCAGCGCGACUGUCACCGGCUCCGCCUCAGCAUGUCCCGCUGCGCCGCCGCGCACCCCAUCGUGCAGCAGAUCCGCCAGGACUGCGCGGAGCCGUUUGCUGCCUUUGAGCAAUGUCUGAAGGAGAACCAAGCUUCCGUCAUGAACUGUAGCGAUCAGGUCAACGCCUUUCUGCUCUGCGCUGACCAGGUGAAGCUCUCCACGUGAGGUCUUUCACCACUGCAAGAAGACUUCCAGCUGCCAGACGGGCUUGGGAGUAGGUUCACCUGCAGCCACUGAACACUGAUACCUACCUGGCUGCUGAAAAUAAAAGCAGCUCUGUCCUCUGCUCUAGGGUAUCCGUUUCAUCACUGGCUCUUGUACUUGACCCCUCGUGUCACCAUCAGACAUCUUUGCAUCAGGAGCCCCGGGUCUAGUGUAGCUCUUCACCGUAUUUAUUUAUUCACCUUGGGAUCCUGGUUCCUUUUGCAACUCCUGACACCUGCUAUUGAGUUUCCUGACUCUAUGGAGGUAUGAGCAGCCACUCACACGAGUUGCUCCUUUACUCCAGGAUACCUAACUCCUGGGAAGGGUGAAGGAUGGGCCAUUCUCCUGGGAAGCCCAGGCCAACCUUCGUGGGACUGCAGGGAGCCAGCUGACUGCCCAUGCAUGCAGUUUGACUGUGCCGAGGCAAGCUUCAGAUUUCCACUUAAGAGUUUGCUUUCUUUUUUUUUUUUCUUGUUUUUUUUUUAUUAUUAUUUUCAAAUGUACAUGCAAAAAAACAUGGCACAUCACAGCACUAGAUCACAAGAAGGGAGGGUGGGGUUUCAGUGGGUGAAGCUGGCUCUGGUAUUUGGGAGAAACAUCAAUUUGCACAUAGUUCACUGUAACGUCCUCUUAAAACUUAAUCUCAACUGAGACCGGCUGUAGUGCAAGAGCCUCUGAAAGUAAUGCACAGCGGGAGGAGUUUUUCUGCUUUGUUUUUUAGGGGUGGGUGACUACACAACAAAGGUGGAAGUCACCUAGCUGCAGCAGCUUGGUCUACAACUUGUCUAUCUGGGCAAACGUCUCGUAAAUAGCUGUUUCUGCAAAAGGCUCCCCCUUCCCUCGUAAAAAGAAAUGUCAAAGUGUCUGUAAACUACGUACAUGACUGCCUUCUGGGGAUAGGCGUUGUCAGAUAGUGAGAGCAAAGGCAAGUCCAGCUACAGAACCUGGCACUGUGAGCACAACGGGAAGUGACUGCACAUCAGCACGUGUCACGUUCACACAGCUUUAUUAAAGGAAGCAACGGUGGGGGGAUCUUUAUAAGGGCUGUGGUUCUGUUACACGUCAUUCCUUAUGUCAGCUCUCUAUAAGCAAUUAAGAAGGUGCCAAAUUCCUGAUAAAAAACAAAAUGCAUCAGGACUGCAUCUCCUUUCAGCCCCAAAUCCUGGAUUUUUUUGAAUUCCUGGGAAUCUUCCUUCAUAACCGCAGAAAACAAAACCUAGCCAUUUCCUUUUUUUUUUUUUUUUUUUUUUUUUCAUUUGAGUGGCUACACACCUUUAAAAUCAGGCUGGCAAACCUGUGAAUGCUUGGAAGUAAAACACCAUGUACAGAAACAUCAGUCAGCCGGGUUCUUGAGUUGCGCUGUUCGACUCCCAGCUUUGGAGAUCCAAGAUUUAAAAAUAAAGCGUUGUUUCCUUU
This is an RNA transcript of Falco peregrinus (peregrine falcon), 1767 nucleotides long. It is a transcript of the gene named coiled-coil-helix-coiled-coil-helix domain containing 5, with no coding region annotated. The transcript has 5 exons. The record is from RefSeq and is a predicted model, not a curated record. NCBI's taxonomy places the organism in Eukaryota, Metazoa, Chordata, Aves, Falconiformes, Falconidae.